This 770-nucleotide ribosomal RNA is filed under the name Mariprofundaceae bacterium. RNAcentral describes it as "bacterial SSU rRNA". It matches the Rfam family "Bacterial small subunit ribosomal RNA", at positions 1 to 769 of the family's 1533-position model. Lineage: Bacteria; Pseudomonadati; Pseudomonadota; Candidatius Mariprofundia; Mariprofundales; Mariprofundaceae. The record is from RNAcentral.
UUGGAGAGUUUGAUCCUGGCUCAGAACGAACGCUGGCGGCGUGCUUAACACAUGCAAGUCGAACGGUAACAGGGACUUCGGUCCGCUGACGAGUGGCGCACGGGUGAGUAACGCGUGGGUAUCUGCCUAUUAGUGGGGGACAACUUGGAGAAAUCCAAGCUAAUACCGCAUAAUCUCUACGGAGGAAAGCGGGGGAUCUUCGGACCUCGCGCUGAUAGAUGGGCCCGCGUCUGAUUAGCUAGUUGGUAAGGUAAUGGCUUACCAAGGCGAUGAUCAGUAACUGGUUUGAGAGGAUGAUCAGUCACACUGGAACUGAGACACGGUCCAGACUCCUACGGGAGGCAGCAGUGGGGAAUAUUGCACAAUGGGGGAAACCCUGAUGCAGCGACGCCGCGUGCGGGAAGAAGGCCUUAGGGUUGUAAACCGCUUUCAGAUGGGAAGAAGGGAUGAGAGUUAAUAACUCUCUGACUUGACGGUACCAUCAGAAGAAGCACCGGCUAAUUUCGUGCCAGCAGCCGCGGUAAUACGAAAGGUGCAAGCGUUGUUCGGAUUUACUGGGCGUAAAGAGAUCGUAGGUGGUUUAUUAAGUCGGAUGUGAAAUCCCGGGGCUCAACCCCGGAACUGCAUUCGAUACUGAUAGGCUAGAGUUCGGGAGGGGUAAGCGGAAUUCCGUGUGUAGCAGUGAAAUGCGUAGAUAUACGGAGGAACACCUGAGGCGAAGGCGGCUUACUGGACCAAUACUGACACUGAGGAUCGAAAGCGUGGGUAGC